AGGACGAACGCUGGCGGCGUGCCUAACACAUGCAAGUCGCACGAGAAAGGGGAGCAAUCCCUGAGUAAAGUGGCGCACGGGUGAGUAACACGUGAAUGAUCUACCUCCGAGUGGGGAAUAACUGAGAGAAAUCUUAGCUAAUACCGCAUAACACUUACGAGUCAAAGCAGCAAUGCGCUUGGAGAGGAGUUCGCGGCCGAUUAGCUAGUUGGCGGGGUAAUGGCCCACCAAGGCGAUGAUCGGUA
RNAcentral lists this ribosomal RNA (245 nucleotides) under uncultured bacterium. RNAcentral describes it as "partial small subunit ribosomal RNA". It matches the Rfam family "Bacterial small subunit ribosomal RNA", at positions 26 to 285 of the family's 1533-position model. The record is from RNAcentral.